UACGGAGGGUGCAAGCGUUAUCCGGAUUCACUGGGUUUAAAGGGUGCGUAGGUGGGUAGGUAAGUCAGUGGUGAAAUCUUCGAGCUUAACUCGGAAACUGCCAUUGAUACUAUCUGUCUUGAAUACCGUGGAGGUGAGCGGAAUAUGUCAUGUAGCGGUGAAAUGCUUAGAUAUGACAUAGAACACCAAUUGCGAAGGCAGCUCACUACUCGAAUAUUGACACUGGGGCACGAAAGCGUGGGGAUCAAAC
This 250-nucleotide ribosomal RNA is filed under the name uncultured bacterium. Its description in RNAcentral is "partial 16S ribosomal RNA". It matches the Rfam family "Bacterial small subunit ribosomal RNA", at positions 524 to 773 of the family's 1533-position model. The record is from RNAcentral.